CGAUUCCGAAGGCGAAUGCGGUAUGAAACACAAGCCUACAGACAAGACGGUAUAACCUCGAGAUCAGAAGUCCCUUAGAUAUUUUGGAACGAAAAACAUUCAAUCCCAUUGGCUUGUAUAAGUGUCCGAGUUGGCGAAGGAUCUUCAGAAUCAACUAUAUGGUUUUGUUAUUCCAUUAACAUGAAUGGAAUUAACCUGGGAAGGUGUUCCGGUCCCGUCCCACCGGGAGGAGACCCCGGGGAAGACCUAGGACACGCUGGAGGGACUAUGUCUCCCGGCUGGCCUGGGAACGCCUUGGUGUCCCCCCGGAAGAGCUAGAGGAAGUGUCUG
Molecule: long non-coding RNA, 330 nt
Organism: Esox lucius (northern pike)
Lineage: Eukaryota; Metazoa; Chordata; Actinopteri; Esociformes; Esocidae
Source: Ensembl